RNAcentral lists this long non-coding RNA (815 nucleotides) under Homo sapiens (human). Its description in RNAcentral is "HSALNT0356107". The record is from RNAcentral. Lineage: Eukaryota; Metazoa; Chordata; Mammalia; Primates; Hominidae.
UUCAGACCUGGAGAAAAGAUCCGAAGCAAUUUUAAAUUAAGACUAUAUUCCCAGACCUGUCAACACUAUAGUAUGAAUCACGGAACUGAGUACUUUCAUUAUUACUCACCAAACUUGCAAGUGUGUCUGCUGACAUCUCCGUGCUCAAUCUGCUGGACUAUUGAUGUGAGCACUGCUGUGCUCCAGAGGAGUUCUUAGCAUGUCCCAGUGAUGUUCAAAAUGUAACCCGAUUGCAAGGGUUCAUGAGGAAACCAAGGAUUGCCCGGCCAGGCUCAAGUCUUCCUCAUCCUUCUUCCUUCUGCCAUCUUUUGAGAAUGGUCACCGUAAGUGGCAUGAUUUGGUAACCGGAGGUCCUGAGCACAAAGGUUCUCAAACCUGAACAGAUAUCGGAACCACCCACCUGGAGGGCUGGGCACACUGAUUGUUUCCCGAGUUUCUAACUGAAUUCCCAAGAUUAACUGGCGUUCUGUAGGUCGGCACAAAGUCGUGGCUUUGCCAUCUGACGGAGGACGCGCAGCGGUCGUCUCUGGCUGGGUAGACUGAGACCUGAACGCUGAGGGACUUAGGACCAGCAGUGCCGUCCAGGCCUGGCUGCAGACGGAAACUACUUCAAGAUAAGCUCCACCAAAAAUAGAGAGGAAAUCAAGAAGAUUAAGACGCAGGAUCCAGCGCAACGCUCCAGCACAGGAGAGACCAAAAGAACGUUUGACAAUCCACUGACUUCCUAGAAAACAGAAGAGUGGGCUGGGCAUGGUGGCUCACGCCUGUAAUCCCAGCACUCUGGGAGGCUGAGGUGGGUGGAUUACCUGAGAUCA